GACGAACGCUGGCGGCGUGCUUAACACAUGCAAGUCGAACGGAAAGGCCCUGCUUUUGUGGGGUGCUCGAGUGGCGAACGGGUGAGUAACACGUGAGUAACCUGCCCUUGACUUUGGGAUAACUUCAGGAAACUGGGGCUAAUACCGGAUAGGAGCUCCUGCUGCAUGGUGGGGGUUGGAAAGUUUCGGCGGUUGGGGAUGGACUCGCGGCUUAUCAGCUUGUUGGUGGGGUAGUGGCUUACCAAGGCUUUGACGGGUAGCCGGCCUGAGAGGGUGACCGGCCACAUUGGGACUGAGAUACGGCCCAGACUCCUACGGGAGGCAGCAGUGGGGAAUAUUGCACAAUGGGCGGAAGCCUGAUGCAGCAACGCCGCGUGCGGGAUGACGGCCUUCGGGUUGUAAACCGCUUUCGCCUGUGACGAAGCGUGAGUGACGGUAAUGGGUAAAGAAGCACCGGCUAACUACGUGCCAGCAGCCGCGGUGAUACGUAGGGUGCGAGCGUUGUCCGGAUUUAUUGGGCGUAAAGGGCUCGUAGGUGGUUGAUCGCGUCGGAAGUGUAAUCUUGGGGCUUAACCCUGAGCGUGCUUUCGAUACGGGUUGACUUGAGGAAGGUAGGGGAGAAUGGAAUUCCUGGUGGAGCGGUGGAAUGCGCAGAUAUCAGGAGGAACACCAGUGGCGAAGGCGGUUCUCUGGGCCUUUCCUGACGCUGAGGAGCGAAAGCGUGGGGAGCGAACAGGCUUAGAUACCCUGGUAGUCCACGCUGUAAACGGUGGGUACUAGGUGUGGGGUCCAUUCCACGGGUUCCGUGCCGUAGCUAACGCUUUAAGUACCCCGCCUGGGGAGUACGGCCGCAGGGCUAAAACUCAAAGGAAUUGACGGGGCCCCGCACAAGCGGCGGAGCAUGCGGAUUAAUUCGAUGCAACGCGUAGAACCUUACCUGGGUUUGACAUGGAUCGGGAGCGCUCAGAGAUGGGUGUGCCUCUUUUGGGGUCGGUUCACAGGUGGUGCAUGGCUGUCGUCAGCUCGUGUCGUGAGAUGUUGGGUUAAGUCCCGCAACGAGCGCAACCCUUGUUCACUGUUGCCAGCACGUUAUGGUGGGGACUCAGUGGAGACCGCCGGGGUCAACUCGGAGGAAGGUGGGGAUGACGUCAAGUCAUCAUGCCCCUUAUGUCCAGGGCUUCACGCAUGCUACAAUGGCUGGUACAGAGAGUGGCGAGCCUGUGAGGGUGAGCGAAUCUCGGAAAGCCGGUCUCAGUUCGGAUUGGGGUCUGCAACUCGACCUCAUGAAGUCGGAGUCGCUAGUAAUCGCAGAUCAGCAACGCUGCGGUGAAUACGUUCCCGGG
RNAcentral lists this ribosomal RNA (1343 nucleotides) under uncultured bacterium. Its description in RNAcentral is "16S ribosomal RNA". It matches the Rfam family "Bacterial small subunit ribosomal RNA", at positions 28 to 1378 of the family's 1533-position model. The record is from RNAcentral.